This 1255-nucleotide unclassified non-coding RNA is filed under the name Hevea brasiliensis (rubber tree). Lineage: Eukaryota; Viridiplantae; Streptophyta; Magnoliopsida; Malpighiales; Euphorbiaceae. The record is from RNAcentral.
CUGGGGAGAAUCUCUGUUGGCAUAAUCACACCAUACAAGCUGCAAUUGAAAUGUCUUCAACAUGAAUUUUCAGCAAUUUUAAAGUCAGAAUGAUUUGAGGCACGUACACAAGACAUAAUAAUGACAUCCCGUUCCUGGCCUUGAAAAGCAUCUACAGUAUUGAUAUAGAUAUCUUUCCCUUUGUUGGCUUUGUUGCUGAUAUCCGCCGGAUGAAUGUUGCUCUCACACGUGCGAGAAGGGCAUUAUGGGUUAUGGGAAAUGCAAAUUCUCUGGUGCAAUCUGAUGAUUGGGCUGCAUUGAUUGCUGAUGCUAAAGCAAGAAACUGCUAUAUGGACAUGGAUUCUCUCCCCAAAGAGUUUUUGGUUUCAAAGGGAAUGCAGGGCAAAUCCACCAAUACAAGGGGUUUGAGGUUAGGUGGUCCAAGACACAGAUCUAUGGAUAUCCACAUGGAGUCCAGAUCAGGAACGCCAUCAGAAGAUGAUGAUAGCUCAGGUGCACCUGUGAUUUCUAGGAAUGGGAGUUAUAGGCCCUUUAAGCCACUAAUGGACAAUUCAUUAGAUGAUUUUGAUCAAUCAGGUGAUAAAUCAAGGGAUGCAUGGCAAUAUGGCAUACAGAAGAAACAAAGUUCUUCUGGGGUUAAGAGAGACUCCUAGGUGUCUUGAUAAAUGCCUGCAAAUUCUUUUGGCAUUUGGGAUAGCGUUCAAUGUUAUUGAAUCUCUACAGUUGUGAUGCUGUCUCUUAGUGCCAGGAAGUCCUCGGUACCUGGGCUUCUUAUGCUCUGAUUGCAUCUGCUAAACACAAUUUGAAACAAGGGCCUAACUCUAACUUCUUACGCUGAUCGCAUUUGCUAAACAGAACAUAAAACAAGCUGGAAGUGCUGCAUUUAUAUUGGAUGCUUGGAGUGGAUGAACAGUGCUUUUGCAAUAGAUCGGUUCUGAUUGGAUUGGUUCCUGUGAUUUCUUGCUGAGAGAUGGGUACUUUUGAGUUAGUUGUGGGCGCCUUCAUCCACCUUCUCACUGGUGUGUCAGUAAGAAAUUAUUCUGUUGCACGCAAUUAACAUGUCUAAUUUGAACUUUUGUCUGUUGAUCACUGGACGGUGGGUAUACGAAUACCAGGAAUCAGUUGGUGGCAUCAAGAAACAGUUAUUAUUUAGAAGCUGAGGUGCCACCAUAUGGCGAUGGAGCUUACCCCACCAUAUUGACAUCUUUUCUGAUGUCUUUAGUUGAUGUGGGGUGUGAGGAGGCUUUCCAGUUAU